CGGGGGACAAAGUGACAGGUGGUGCAUGGUUGUCGUCAGCUCGUGUCGUGAGAUGUUGGGUUAAGUCCCGCAACGAGCGCAACCCUUAAGCUUAGUUGCCAUCAUUAAGUUGGGCACUCUAAGUUGACUGCCGGUGACAAACCGGAGGAAGGUGGGGAUGACGUCAAAUCAUCAUGCCCCUUAUGAUUUGGGCUACACACGUGCUACAAUGGACAAUACAAAGGGCAGCGAAACCGCGAGGUCAAGCAAAUCCCAUAAAGU
This 261-nucleotide ribosomal RNA is filed under the name Staphylococcus aureus. RNAcentral's name for it is "partial 16S ribosomal RNA". It matches the Rfam family "Bacterial small subunit ribosomal RNA", at positions 1020 to 1282 of the family's 1533-position model. The record is from RNAcentral. Lineage: Bacteria; Bacillati; Bacillota; Bacilli; Caryophanales; Staphylococcaceae.